Ochotona princeps (American pika) is the source of this 107-nucleotide small nuclear RNA. The record is from Ensembl. NCBI's taxonomy places the organism in Eukaryota, Metazoa, Chordata, Mammalia, Lagomorpha, Ochotonidae.
AUACUCAUAUCAGUAGCACUUAACAUUAAAAGUGGAAGGAUACAAGAAGAUUAGCAUGGCCCCUAUGCAAGGAUGACAUGCAGAUUUGUGAAGUGUUUCAUGUUAGU